ACCUCAGCGGCUCAGCCCAGUGCAGAGCUGGUCUGACCGUCCGAGACUCGAGAGAGAGGUUGCCGCCGUUCCCGUCCACCGCAGAACGCCGCCUCCGUCGUAACCUUGCAGCCUCCUGGGGCUCCCCCGCUUCGCCUAGCCAGACGCGGUCGGUGCCCUCCGCCCGCCCGUGGCAGCUAUUCCGGCCGCCACCGACUCCACGCCCUGCCUUCCGGCGUCGCCGAACGUCGUCCCUUCCUCCCUGGCUCCCCGACUCGUCGACUCCCAGUAUCCAAACGCCAAUCGGUGACUCUCCUCUCCUCUGUGACUGCAAGCCUGCAACUUUGCUCCUCUGCCCACUGUCCUCAGUCCUCUCCCCCAAUUUUCUGUUCCUUGAAUGCUAUUCCUCUUAUUUAGUUUACAGCUAUAGUUGAUUAGUGUACAAAUGAAUUAUGUGAUGAGUUGUGUACAAAUCAAAUGAAUUGAUGAUUCUUCUUCAGUAAUUUUUUGUUUCAUCUAUUAUAACACAUGUUGUCUUUUGCUAUGUAUUACCUUAGUAAUUGAACGACUGAAUAUUGUGUUCAAAUUAUUAUCAGGGAAAUUUUUUGCUCCAAUCUUUUUUUGGCCCGGGACGUGAGUAAUUCCUGGCUCCGCUUGACCGUUACUAAUUUGUACACGGAACUUGUAAUGCUGGUGGAUCACUUUCUAUUAUUAUUCUGCUGUAGCCACUAGCUAUGCUUGUGUCCUGUGUGUCUCAAUGUGUCAUCAUGUCAUGCAUAUUUGCUAUACAGACCACAGAAAACUGAAUGCUAGUUAUUUCGUUGCUGUUAUGGUAUGCAAAUGGAGGUCAUGUUAUAUUGUUCACAGAUGCUUGCUGAUCGAUAUGAAGAUAUCCAGUCAUCAAAUGUGCAAACAAAAGUUAACUGUUGUCUCCUUAUUUUUUUAAAUCAGGCCAACUUUGGUUAGUUUGGUAUAUACCGAUGCCUUAGUAAAAAUAGUUUGGUAUCUAUCAAAACUGAACCAGUGUUUUGAUUCUAUAUUGUAUUUACCAGAAAAUAGUAUAUACCAAAACAAAUUAAACUAAAAUGCAGGGUCUGGAGCACCGAGAGACGAGUGUGAGAAGUCUUUUCUCUGAAAACAAAAAGUGUGAGAAUUCAUCACCAGCGACGGCGAGCGCUCGUGCUCACAGGAGGAGGAGGUGCAGUGACGAUAUGUUCACGAACGCUCAGCUCCAGGUUGAGCGCACCGGCCGCGGCGGCACCCUGCGAGAGCAGUACCUUCAGGACCUCGUGACCCAGUUCCAGGACCCCAGAGACGAAGCUGAAUAUUCUCGAGUUGUUCUUGGACUGCAUUACGGAGCCAAAUGAAUGGCUUGUUGAGUUUGGUGUUGGUGGAAUAUGUAAUUCAUGUGCUGAUCCAGCAAACGCUUCAGUCAUUACUCAAUGUGGUGGGAUCCCAUUGGUUGUGCAAUGCUUAUCUAGCCCAGUUAAGAAUACUGUGAAUUAUGCACUUGGAGGCUUGUACUACUUAUGCAACCCUUCGACAGAAAAGAGAUUCUGAAACCGGACGUACUUAGGGUGAUAAGAGACUAUUCUGCGGCUGGAGCCGUUAACAGCAGCUUCAGUAAUAUGGCAAAUGCGUUUCCUGGACAAGCACGUCUACACGUGACCUUGUUCAGAACCACAAAGGACUAGGCUUGUAGCACAUCAUCUGCUAGAGACAAGAGAGGAGAUGAUGUACAUGAAUUACCAUCUUGUAGCCGUUUAUCCAAGCACUGUAAUAACAGAAAUGACAUAAUUCUGAAAAUUUUAAAACCUGUGAAAACUCAGUGAGUUCAUCAGCACCGUUGUCUUGUGUUAAUAGUAUUUUUGCCCUGCACGACUGCCCCGUGGAGCAGCGCAUGGAGGAGGACAUCGGCGCAAACUGCUGCAUGUUCGUGUUACUGUCCAAGGUCGACCCGACCCAGCCACCGUCCGGGCCAUCCUCCAGCUCGAGCACCCUCGGCAGAUCCCCUGCGAUCUCAGGAUCGACUACUUUGAUGGAGUACUCCAGCUCGAGCUUAGUCUCACGACUCUCAACUCGCCAGCCCACCGAGUACUCAAGCCGCAGGUGGUGGAGUACCAUGGUGUCGCCGCUGCUCUACUCCUCCCGCUGUACUUCCUGGCGGGCCUCGGCGCGUCGCGGGCGGCCUUCGCGGUGUUCGUGCUGGUGGUGUGGGCGGUGGUGCUCACGGCCAACUCAUUCAUGCUCUUCGUCAAUCGUCAGCUCCUUCCCACCGUGCUGGUGGCGAGCUUGGCCCGACUCCACCUUGACCUGUUAGGACGGAAGGAAUUUGUGCAAAACUGGGGUCAUUGGUGGCACAAGUUUAACUAAAUGGGUGUCAAGAAAACAGAAAUCUCACUAAAUGGGGUCAAAGUUGUCAAAAAAUAAAAUUUGAGGGUAAAAAAUGGAAUUCGCUCUCUUUUUUAUUUUCAGGUGGAUGAUUCUCUUGAAUCGGACAACAAAGAGAGCAUUAAUUCAUCACCUCAUAGCUUAUGCCGGAGAUAUGAAAACACAGUGAGUCUAUGUUUGUAGUAGCAACCAAGUAAAAGAUCUUUGAUGAUUUGUGUGAUUCAAAAAAUACAGAACCAAUCUUAAAUCUUAUAUUGUUGCCACUAUUAUUCUUCAUCUGAAAUAUGAAGGGUUGUAAUAUUUUGUGUCAUAUUUUAUCUUUCCCAGGCUGUAGAGGGAGAAGCUGUUUUUGCUGCUCUAGUUAAUAAGUUUAAUGUCCUGGCUAAUGGGUGCAUUAAAAUCCAGUAUGGUUUGGAGGAGUCAAAAAGAGCUCCAGUGCAUCAUGCACCCGCUAUUGCUGAUGCAGGAAAUGAUGAUGAUACCGUUAUAGACAGGAGCUGGGUAUAUGAGGGAAGGGAGGACCGUGAACCCACCAUGAUUGGUGCACAAGAAACAGCAACUGGGACUUCAGCUCCCCCUCUUGGCGCAUCUGCUGUUGCCUCCGAUCAAAGUGGGGAAGAAAUUAUAGUGGAUACUUAGGAAUUUCCAGUUCUUAUUUUAGCAAGCUUCUAACUAUGAAGACUUAUGUUGAUAUGUGGAUUUGACAGUGGUAGUGCAUGUGCAUCCUGCGACUACUGAUACUUUUGAUGUAUCUGAUGUUGCCUCAGAUGUGGGCAGUAGAUGCAGGUCAGACUCAUUAUAUGGUGGGGGGAGGCGGGCAGGACAGGGUGGACUCCGGCAUAUCACGG
Molecule: RNA transcript, 3218 nt
Organism: Brachypodium distachyon (stiff brome)
Lineage: Eukaryota; Viridiplantae; Streptophyta; Magnoliopsida; Poales; Poaceae
Gene name: armadillo repeat-containing protein 7-like
Exons: 8
Source: RefSeq, a predicted model, not a curated record